Molecule: ribosomal RNA, 633 nt
Filed under: Triticum aestivum (bread wheat)
Lineage: Eukaryota; Viridiplantae; Streptophyta; Magnoliopsida; Poales; Poaceae
Description: partial small subunit ribosomal RNA
Source: RNAcentral
AUGGGCGGCGUGGUUUUACUGUGGGUGUUGAGGAGCGGGAAGGGUGAGGAGGACGAAGGUGGGGGGAGGAGCAGCGAGUCAGGUGAUGGGUUAGGGCCACCGGUCGAGGGGGAGGGGAGGACGACCACUGCUCGCCACCUCCCUGCCUCGUUUGCUGCAUCGUCGCCCUCCUAUCCACUGCUCUUUGUCCUCCGCGACACAGCUCCGGCCACAGUAGCUUGUUGCCUCCCGCUUCCUUCCUUGCAUGCUAACCACUGCCUCACCAGAUUGGUGUUGAACAUAAUAAGGGAUAGAGGGACAGAAAAGAUAUAUUUGUCGCGGCGCUGCAAGUGUUGCCCCCCUCCUCCCCAAGGGCAAGGUGAAGAAAGGUGCCUAUGUGGUUUUUCUGCAGCUCGCAGCGAGGAUUGCUGUGUUCAACCUGCACAAGAAUGCCAAGAAGUCCUUCUCGGAGACGUAAGCCACGGCGCAUGUUUCUGCCAUGAUUUCCUUCGGUUGGAUUUCAUGGAUUUAGGUGUUGAAAAAUUAUGGGUUGUGGAUGCAGGAUUAAGGACAUGUAUCUGCACUACAACGAGAGAUUUGGGCUGCUUCUUUGUGGCUUCCAAACUUGAAAUGUUUGUUUGGAAGUUAGUUUAG